CGUCUAGGUCAGGACCUCUGCUCCCCCCGUCUAGGUCAGGACCUCUGCUCUCCCCGUCUAGGUCAGGACCUCUGCUCUCCCCGUCUAGGUCAGGACCUCUGCUCUCCCCGUCUAGGUCAGGACCUCUGCUCCCCCCGUCUAGGUCAGGACCUCUGCUCUCCCCGUCUAGGUCAGGACCUCUGUUCCCCCCGUUUAGGUCAGGACCUCUACUCUCCCCGUCUAGGUCAGGACCUCUGCUCCCCCCCGUCUAGGUCAGGACCUCUGCUCUCCCCGUCUAGGUCAGGACCUCUGCUCUCCCCGUCUAGGUCAGGACCUCUGCUCUCCCCGUCUAGGUCAGGACCUCUGCUCCCCCCGUCUAGGUCAGGACCUCUGCUCCCCCCCGUCUAGGUCAGGACCUCUGCUCCCCCCCGUCUAGGUCAGGACCUCUGCUCCCCCCCGUCUAGGUCAGGACCUCUGCUCCCCCCCGUCUAAGUGGAUGAGAAAGAGUAGCAUUACACUAAUUUAUACAUUGAUUCUAAUAUGUAGACCUAUGGAAUAGCUGCAGUAGAACUACAGAUGAGACCCAGUAGUGUGUGUUAGUGAGAGAUAAUCUAAAUUGUUCUAGGUGUUUUACAUCUACUAAGAUGAAAGCAAGUUAGGUUGUACAGUUGUAUCUGGAACGUUUGGGGAUACAAGGAUCACCUCGAGAUAUAUAUAUAUAUAUAUUUGACUGAGGACGAUCUCUAUAGUUGAUUGCAGCAUGAAAUCCUCUGUCGGUCACAAGAAAAGCGAUUUGCUCGUCACAUUUCACUCUGAGAUGUCGUUAGCUAGCUGCGUAUGUUAGAAGUAGUUCUCGAUGUAUAUGUGGGGACCGUGAAAUGCGAACAUAGUUUGUUUGUGGUCAUGAUUCGUCAUGGAUCUGCAUCCCUCCUCGUUCAUUCGUCGUGUUCUGUAUGUUUGAUGAUGCUGUGGGCAACAGUGCAUUGAAGUGCUGCUUUCUUUACUAGAAAUCACUUUUUAUUUUUUACACUUUAUUUUUUAUUUUUUGUAUCUUUUUUUUUUUGGAGAGUCUCUUCUGACAGGUAAAACACUUUGAGCUGUUACACAAGUGCAGUCAAUGAGUUGUUAAUGAUCGAUUACAGUGUGACGACUCCCCACCCCCCACCCCCUUCCCUCCGUGUAAUAAUGCACUCUUAUUACUAUUGGUAAAUCACUCUAGGUAUGUACUGUAUCAUAACAGCCAGCUGAUAACAUGUCUGUUACUAAGCAACUUCAAAAUAAACCAGAUGGCUUAUUAUUGUUAUUAUUAUUAUUAUUAUUAUUCAUCUGAGUUCAUUAUUUCCACCUUCUCCGUGUACAAAAAAAUAAAAAUAAUAACAAACAAAAAAGUUUAGAAAGGAAUACAAAUCAUGAUUUUUAUCGAAUGCAAAUGUUAUGUUGUCAGGCUAUCAUUUUUUUUUUUAAGAAAA
Non-coding RNA from Oncorhynchus mykiss (rainbow trout), 1448 nucleotides. NCBI's taxonomy places the organism in Eukaryota, Metazoa, Chordata, Actinopteri, Salmoniformes, Salmonidae. The record is from RefSeq and is a predicted model, not a curated record.